Molecule: ribosomal RNA, 300 nt
Filed under: uncultured Gammaproteobacteria bacterium
Lineage: Bacteria; Pseudomonadati; Pseudomonadota; Gammaproteobacteria
Description: partial 16S ribosomal RNA
Rfam family: Bacterial small subunit ribosomal RNA
Source: RNAcentral
GGUGCUGCAUGGCUGUCGUCAGCUCGUGUUGUGAAAUGUUGGGUUAAGUCCCGCAACGAGCGCAACCCUUGUCCUUUGUUACCAGCACUUUAUGGGGGGCCCUCUAAGGAAACGGCCGGUAACAACCCGAAGAAGGGGGGGAAUAACUUCAAUUCUUCUGGCCCUUUACGGCCGGGGUUACCCACGUGCUACAAGGGUCGGUACAAAGGGUUGCCAACCCCCAGGGUGGAGCUAAUCCCAAAAAACCGAUCGUAUCCCGGAUCGAAUUCUGCAACUCGACUGCGUGAAGUCGAAAUCGCU